CAAUUGACCCCUUAAGCUGGGUCUGACUUCAAAGUGGGCCCUGCUCUGCACACAACAUCAGGCAGUGGCCUCCAGAGCUGCUUCUAAACCAAAGGGUUCCUUGAUUGAAAUGCUAUGUAAAAGAUUGCCAUUGUUUUGCACUGCAGCCACUCACUGAUGUGGAUCAACUGUGCCAGUCACUCCACCACUGUAAAUACGGAACUGCUUUAUUCAGCUCCCUGAAGCUUAAUCAGCCUGCUUUUAAAACAGCUUGUGAGCCCCUUUGGUCUGAAGCUUCCUCCUACCAGGUUGCUUCAUUUCUCUGCGUCAGAGCACGUGCAUGUGGAAAUGGAGAUCAAAGAGCAUUGUUAAUUGACAGAAGAGGUGUUACAGAGAUUGUCAGUUACCUUUUGCUGCUGAUACCCAUCACCUCUAAUAGAAAUGUAAGAACCCAGAACUGGAAAGGACCAUCUGGAACCAUCUCUUGGGAUUUAAAAAAAAAAAAAAGGCUUUCAUGCCAUACAUCUUCUGUCAAACCUGAGGACACCAAUGGACACAGAACUUACUCUUCUUUAACUGCAGACUUGUAUUCCAUAAAAUAUGAAAAGACAUCUGAAAAAGUCACCAGAUCUAACUGGGUGGAGACCGGAUGUCAGGAGAAAACUAGGCUUUUGCAGAGAUUGAUUUAUGGAGAAGGAACUAAGUAUACAUGAGUAGAACUGCAUUUCAGAGCUGAAGAAGAGUGAAAAUUGUUAGAAGUUAGAUUGAGCCACACAGACUGAAUUUCCUGACUUUUCUUAAAACAAACAACAAAAGAUCCUUUGUACAACAGAAAUAACAAAACAACAAGAAUUAUUGUUGUGCAGAAGGGUGGGAUAGGACUUGAGAAAUAACCCCCGAAAUGAAGUGAAUAUGUUGCCUUAGUUUUCAGUAAAGAUGCAGCAGUUAAGUAUAGAAACAAAGGUUAUAGAGUGAAUGCAAAGGAAAAUUUGGAAAUGGAAUGGACAC
RNAcentral lists this long non-coding RNA (987 nucleotides) under Gallus gallus (chicken). RNAcentral's name for it is "lncRNA (ENSGALG00010008462.1)". Lineage: Eukaryota; Metazoa; Chordata; Aves; Galliformes; Phasianidae. The record is from RNAcentral.